UGGGUAAUCAACCCUUCAGCUUGGGAUAACGACUUGAAAGGGUCGCUAAUACCGGAUACGGCGCGAGAGGCUUCGGCUUCUCACGAGAAAGCCUCGCAGGGGGCACUGAAGGACGAGCCUGCGGCCCAUCAGCUAGUUGGUGAGGUAAGAGCUCACCAAGGCUAAGACGGUAGCUGGUCUGAGAGGAUGAUCAGCCACACUGGAACUGAGACACGGUCCAGACCUCCG
Molecule: ribosomal RNA, 228 nt
Filed under: uncultured bacterium
Lineage: Bacteria
Description: partial 16S ribosomal RNA
Rfam family: Bacterial small subunit ribosomal RNA
Source: RNAcentral